GACGAACGCUGGCGGCGUGCUUAACACAUGCAAGUCGAACGGAAAGGCCCUGCUUUUGUGGGUUGCUCGAGUGGCGAACGGGUGAGAAACACGUGAGUAACCUCCCCUUGACUUUGGGAUAACUCCAGGAAACUGGGGCUAAUACCGGAUAGGAGCUCCUGCUGCAUGGUGGGGGUUGGAAAGUUUCGGCGGUUGGGGAUGGACUCGCGGCUUAUCAGCUUGUUGGUGGGGUAGUGGCUUACCAAGGCUUUGACGGGUAGCCGGCCUGAGAGGGUGACCGGCCACAUUGGGACUGAGAUACGGCCCAGACUCCUACGGGAGGCAGCAGUGGGGAAUAUUGCACAAUGGGCGGAAGCCUGAUGCAGCAACGCCGCGUGCGGGAUGACGGCCUUCGGGUUGUAAACCGCUUUCGCCUGUGACGAAGCGUGAGUGACGGUAAUGGGUAAAGAAGCACCGGCUAACUACGUG
Molecule: ribosomal RNA, 468 nt
Filed under: uncultured bacterium
Lineage: Bacteria
Description: partial 16S ribosomal RNA
Rfam family: Bacterial small subunit ribosomal RNA
Source: RNAcentral